This 368-nucleotide ribosomal RNA is filed under the name Streptomyces microflavus. RNAcentral's name for it is "bacterial SSU rRNA". It matches the Rfam family "Bacterial small subunit ribosomal RNA", at positions 1020 to 1378 of the family's 1533-position model. Lineage: Bacteria; Bacillati; Actinomycetota; Actinomycetes; Kitasatosporales; Streptomycetaceae. The record is from RNAcentral.
CUUGUGGUCGGUAUACAGGUGGUGCAUGGCUGUCGUCAGCUCGUGUCGUGAGAUGUUGGGUUAAGUCCCGCAACGAGCGCAACCCUUGUUCUGUGUUGCCAGCAUGCCCUUCGGGGUGAUGGGGACUCACAGGAGACUGCCGGGGUCAACUCGGAGGAAGGUGGGGACGACGUCAAGUCAUCAUGCCCCUUAUGUCUUGGGCUGCACACGUGCUACAAUGGCCGGUACAAUGAGCUGCGAUGCCGCGAGGCGGAGCGAAUCUCAAAAAGCCGGUCUCAGUUCGGAUUGGGGUCUGCAACUCGACCCCAUGAAGUCGGAGUUGCUAGUAAUCGCAGAUCAGCAUUGCUGCGGUGAAUACGUUCCCGGGU